Molecule: ribosomal RNA, 253 nt
Filed under: uncultured bacterium
Lineage: Bacteria
Description: partial 16S ribosomal RNA
Rfam family: Bacterial small subunit ribosomal RNA
Source: RNAcentral
UACGUAGGGCGCAAGCGUUGUCCGGAAUUAUUGGGCGUAAAGAGCUCGUAGGCGGCCUGUCGCGUCUGCUGUGAAAUCCCGGGGCUUAACCCCGGGCGUGCAGUGGAUACGGGCUGGCUGGAGGCAGGCAGGGGAGAACGGAAUUCCCGGUGUAGCGGUGAAAUGCGCAGAUAUCGGGAGGAACACCGGUGGCGAAGGCGGUUCUCUGGGCCUGUACUGACGCUGAGGAGCGAAAGCGUGGGGAGCGAACAGG